UCCUAAAAGAAGAGGGAAGAGAAAUCACAUAAUCACAGAGACUAUCAGCUGGGACUAGUCCUUAGCCCCAAACAGACUCAGGACACCAGAAGGAGAGAUUCAGAAAUACAAAAGGAGCCAACCAAACCUCAAGAAUGCCUGGGGUUACUGAUGCUGGCUCUAAGGAGGAAGCUUUGAUGGACUUACCUCCAGGCUUAUUAUGGCCAUUUUCUCCACUUCUUCCCCUCAAUUCAGGAUUUGAUCUCUCUACUGAUUUACUCCCUGAUGUAGGUCCAUCUUCAUUAUCUACACCCACCACACCAACCACCCUUGACAGGGUUAGGGUUCUGUCAUUAGUUGUGUCACAGAACACCACUUUCAGAACCCUGAAGUGGGAAAUUCCACUUGAAUAACCUUGUCUCUGUUUCCCGUUUCCUCACCCACCUCAAAUAUGCAUUUCACUCCUAUAUGAAUCUUUCAAGAAAACUUCGAUAAAAUAAGAUUAAAAAAAAAUAAAAGAAGAUGGAUUAAAAUAUCAGAAUGGCAGUUUCCUUCCUGGCCAGGUCAAUACUACCAUUACUUCUGGAAAGGGCAAUACUCCCACAAGGCUCCCCUUAUCAACUCCAUGACUUCCCAGAUUGAAACACCUUGUUCACCUCACUUCUUCUGGGGUGUUGGAGGAGAGAGGAACUUAUUCAGCCCAGUCUGGAGUGGCAUGCUCUUCUUGGUUCAGCCCGAAGACACAGGCUUCUGAAGAGGCUUGAGAUUUUAGAAUAAUACAACACUCAAUAUCCCAAGGAAGCAACAAAAGGAUCGAUCCAGACCCAGCCCUAACAUCAAGUUUGAAUUCAGGAAUUAGGAUGGAAGAACGGGCAAACAAGAAAAGGAUCCACUAUUAUGAGCUAUUAAGAGUGGCAGGGAUACUCAAGACACAAAUGCAGAAGAAGAGAAUGACUCUUAAACACCCACAAAUAAAGCCUCAUUAGAAAAUGCAGCUUGGAUGCAACCUCAAUUAGAAUUUCUAAAAGAGAUGAAGCAAGAGUGCAGGAAAAGAAAAAAAAAGUUUAAAAUGUUUUUUAUAAAUGGAAUGAGUUUAUAGAAAUAAUUGGAAAAGGGGGGCAGCUGGGUGGUUCAGUGGCUUAAAAACCAGGCUUAGAGACGGAUAUCCUGGGUUCAAAUCUGUUCUCAGACACUUCCCAGCUGUGUGACCCUAGGCAAGUCACUUAACCCCCACUGCCUAGCCCUUACUGCUCUUCUACACAGUAUUGAUUCUAAGACGGAAGGUAAAGGUUAAAAAAAAAACAAUUGGAAAAGAAAUGAAAGGGGAUAUUUAGGUGGCUCAGUAAACUACGGCUAGAGGUCCCGGGUUCAAAUUUGACCUUGGAUAAGCCUUAGCUGCUUGACUCUGAGGGCAAGUCACUUAGCCCCCAUUGCCUAGCCCUUACCAUUCUUCUGUCUUAGAAUUUAUACUAAGGACAGAAGGUAAAGGCUUUAAAAAAAAAUGAAAGUUUUGGUAAAAAAAAAAAUAGAAAGGAAACUAAAAGUUUAGCCCAAGAAUUAUAAAACCUUUACCCAAGCAACAAAUUUCCUGAAAAUUCAAAUGGACCAAAUAGAAACCAAGAAUAUCAAUAAUGAUAAUGAGAAAUAUUAAAAGAAAGUCAAAAGGCUGAAUAAAUGGAAGAAAAAUAUAACAUAUCCCAGCAAAAAUGACUGGCCUGGAAAACAGACUAAGGAGAAAAAAAUUUAAGAAUCAUUGGACUAUCUGAACCCCAUGACCAAUAAGAGAGGCUCGAAAAUAAAUCUUAAAAGAGAACUGCCCAGAUUGCUUAGAAACAGAGGGCAAACAAUCCAAUGUAAUGGACUUUGCUACUAAUAGCAAUGCAACAAGCCAGGAUACUCCUAAAGGACUUAUAUGAAAGAACGUUAUCCACAUUAAGAGUGUGUAAUUUGAAUCUGUUACCCUAAAAACUAUGAUCUCCAGCAAAACUAUGAUUCCCAACACCCUACUCUCUUCCUGUUGUCAUGUGCUGAUGUAGACAGGAGAUAAAUUUGAUGGACUCCGGUCUCUCAGCUUCUUUUUCCUUCCUGUGGUGGCUUUAGUGGAAUGGGCUUUUUUCAGCAAACUAAGCAAACUUAGUCAUGUGGUUCUAUUUUGUCAGAUAAUAAAAUUUAAAAAUAUUACUUGAAGUAUUAGACAUUAACUUAAAUCCUACAAAAGAAAGAACUAUGGGAGUAGAAACACAAAAACAAAACAUAUGACAUCACUUAUCGCAUGUAUAUAUAGGGUAUGUGAUUUGGGGUUUAGGCUUUUGAAAAUCCCUCACUAGCAAAAAUGAAUAAUAUGGAAAUAGGUAUCAAGUGAUAACAUUUUUACAACCCAGUGGAAUUGCUUAUCAGCUCUGAG
Molecule: non-coding RNA, 2383 nt
Organism: Monodelphis domestica (gray short-tailed opossum)
Lineage: Eukaryota; Metazoa; Chordata; Mammalia; Didelphimorphia; Didelphidae
Source: RefSeq, a predicted model, not a curated record